RNAcentral lists this ribosomal RNA (105 nucleotides) under Harpegnathos saltator (Jerdon's jumping ant). Lineage: Eukaryota; Metazoa; Arthropoda; Insecta; Hymenoptera; Formicidae. The record is from RNAcentral.
GUCAGCGGUCAUGCCACGUUGAAAGCGCCAGUUCUCGUCCGAUCACUGAGGUGAAGCAACGUUAGGCAUGAUCAGUACUUGAGAAUACCACGUGUUUUGUUUUUC